GAGACUGCCGGUGUUAAAGCCGGAGGAAGGUGGGGAUGACGUCAAGUCCUCAUGGCCCUUUAUGCCCAGGGCUACACACGUGCUACAAUGGGCGGUACAAAGAGAAGCAACCUCGGCGAGGGUGAGCAAAUCUCAAAAAGCCGUUCUCAGUUCGGAUUGAAGUCUGCAACUCGACUUCAUGAAGUCGGAAUCGCUAGUAAUCGCGGAUCAGCAUGCCGCGGUGAAUACGUUCCCGGGCCUU
RNAcentral lists this ribosomal RNA (241 nucleotides) under uncultured Syntrophaceae bacterium. RNAcentral's name for it is "partial 16S ribosomal RNA". It matches the Rfam family "Bacterial small subunit ribosomal RNA", at positions 1145 to 1382 of the family's 1533-position model. The record is from RNAcentral. Lineage: Bacteria; Pseudomonadati; Thermodesulfobacteriota; Syntrophia; Syntrophales; Syntrophaceae.